UCUUGGUCAUUUAGAGGAAGUAAAAGUCGUAACAAGGUUUCCGUAGGUGAACCUGCGGAAGGAUCAUUAAUGAAUAUAAUUCGGUCGGCGGGAAGGAGGGAGCUGUCGCUGGCCCUUUGGGCAUGUGCACGCUCUCUUUGGAACGUUGGGUCGUCUUUUCAUAUUUUCACCAGUGCACCUAAUGUAGGAUGCCUCUCCUCCGGGAGGGGGGACCUAUGUCUUUUUCAGACGCCCACAGUUUAGAAAGUCUCAGAAUGUUUUACUAUCGUUCGAGCCGCGACUUCCAGGAGACGCGGGUCGGCGAGAUAAAAGUUAUUACAACUUUCAGCAACGGAUCUCUUGGCUCUCGCAUCGAUGAAGAACGCAGCGAAUUGCGAUAUGUAAUGUGAAUUGCAGAUCUACAGUGAAUCAUCGAAUCUUUGAACGCACAUUGCGCUCCUCGGUGUUCCGAGGAGCAUGCCUGUUUGAGUGUCAGUAAAUUCUCAACCCCUCUCGAUUUGUUUCGAGGGGGAGCUUGGAUAGUGGGGGCUGCCGGAGACCUGGACUGGCGUCCUGGACUUGGGCUCUCCUGAAAUGCAUCGGCUUGCGAUUGACUUUCGACUUUGCGCGACAAGGCUUUCGGUGUGAUAUUGAUCGCCGUCUUCCGAAGCGCAUGAAGGAAGGUCUUGUGCCUCCAACACGUCGACGGCAACGUCUUCCUUCUUUAUGUUUGACCUCAAAUCAGGUAGGACUACCCGCUGAACUUAAGCAUAUCAAUAAGCGGAGGAAAAGAAACUAACAAGGAUUCCCCUAGUAACUGCGAGUGAAGCGGGAAAAGCUCAAAUUUUGAAUCUGGUGGUCUUUUAUGGCCGUCCGAGUUGUAAUCUAGAGAAGCGUUUUCUACGCUGGACCGUGUACAAGUUUCCUGGAAUGGAACGUCAUAGAGGGUGAGAAUCCA
Molecule: ribosomal RNA, 937 nt
Filed under: Chroogomphus rutilus
Lineage: Eukaryota; Fungi; Basidiomycota; Agaricomycetes; Boletales; Gomphidiaceae
Description: eukaryotic LSU rRNA
Rfam family: Eukaryotic large subunit ribosomal RNA (bases 711-937)
Source: RNAcentral